Molecule: small RNA, 660 nt
Filed under: Histoplasma capsulatum
Lineage: Eukaryota; Fungi; Ascomycota; Eurotiomycetes; Onygenales; Ajellomycetaceae
Also listed under: 1 other name
Description: hypothetical RNA
Source: RNAcentral
AAACCAAAGAUCCACGGUGCAGGGAAUCACAUCACAACUCCCAUCACAUCGUCAUCACGUCACAUCCUGGAUUUAUUUGUCAUUUAUUAUGGAGCAUGGAGGAUGCUUCUUGGGAGGACGAAAAAAAGCCAUCCAUAUGGGACCGUUGAUCCAAAGCAAAGGAGCCCACCGAAACGCGAGUGGAAAUCGUUUCGUUGGUUCGACAUCCACCAUCGGGUCAAGCCGAGAGUUGAAACAAUGAAUUACACAGUAAAGGGGUUGCGUUAAAUUUUCCCAAGAAGGAAAAAAAAAAAAAAGAAUGAAAAACGGGUGAAAAAGCACCAAGCUAAGCCAAGCAAGGGGAAUUUAUGUUAGUAGUUGGUCUAUGCUGUCUGGUUUGUGAUUUUCCCCAGAAAAUGGAUCACCAGAGGACUUCUUAAGCGAACGAUACACGCUCAUUCGCUUGAGUAACUGACUACCGGCCACUGGAGGGAAUCAGAAAAAUUCUGUCGAUGGGGCCAAAAAACAAAAAAAGAAAAGAAAAGAAAAGAAAGUGAAAAACAGAGCCAAGAUCCGGGGAAAAAAACGCUGGCGGUAAUUAAUUCAUUAGUUGCUUCUUCUGCUCAUCAUGGCCACAGCAUGAAGCCUCGGCAUACAAGUUUCUUGUUCUUUUAUUGGGAG